GGGUGUGCUGCUUCGUGGCCAUAGUUUUGCAAAAACUAAUGAGGAUUUUUACAGAUCCCACGCCUU
This 66-nucleotide transfer RNA is filed under the name Serendip sp. MZUSP 7987. RNAcentral's name for it is "tRNA-Cys". The record is from RNAcentral. Lineage: Eukaryota; Metazoa; Platyhelminthes; Cestoda; Tetraphyllidea; Serendipidae.